RNAcentral lists this unclassified non-coding RNA (279 nucleotides) under Hevea brasiliensis (rubber tree). Lineage: Eukaryota; Viridiplantae; Streptophyta; Magnoliopsida; Malpighiales; Euphorbiaceae. The record is from RNAcentral.
ACAGCUCCGCUGCGCGAUGCCGCAGGACUGUUUGCGAAGCGUUACGAUGCAUCCGAAGGCGCGGCUUAUCUGCUGCGCCCUGACGGUUAUGUCGCGGCGCGCUUCAGGAAGCCGACGCGCAAGACCGUCGAGGCCGCCAUCGCCCGCGCAAGUGCACAAACGUGAGCUACGCAUGACACUCUCGACACAAUCGAAUUUCGCCGAUCCCGACGCCGCCGNGCUGGUGGUGGAAGCCCAUCGCGGCCUGCGCGACGAGGACAGUGUAUCGCUGGACACGGC